ACACAUGCAAGUCGAGGGGCAGCAUGGUCUUAGCUUGCUAAGGCUGAUGGCGACCGGCGCACGGGUGAGUAACACGUAUCCAACCUGCCGUCUACUCUUGGCCAGCCUUCUGAAAGGAAGAUUAAUCCAGGAUGGGAUCAUGAGUUCACAUGUCCGCAUGAUUAAAGGUAUUUUCCGGUAGACGAUGGGGAUGCGUUCCAUUAGAUAGUAGGCGGGGUAACGGCCCACCUAGUCAACGAUGGAUAGGGGUUCUGAGAGGAAGGUCCCCCACAUUGGAACUGAGACACGGUCCAAACUCCUACGGGAGGCAGCAGUGAGGAAUAUUGGUCAAUGGGCGAUGGCCUGAACCAGCCAAGUAGCGUGAAGGAUGACUGCCCUAUGGGUUGUAAACUUCUUUUAUAAAGGAAUAAAGUCGGGUAUGCAUACCCGUUUGCAUGUACUUUAUGAAUAAGGAUCGGCUAACUCCGUGCCAGCAGCCGCGGUAAUACGGAGGAUCCGAGCGUUAUCCGGAUUUAUUGGGUUUAAAGGGAGCGUAGAUGGAUGUUUAAGUCAGUUGUGAAAGUUUGCGGCUCAACCGUAAAAUUGCAGUUGAUACUGGAUGUCUUGAGUGCAGUUGAGGCAGGCGGAAUUCGUGGUGUAGCGGUGAAAUGCUUAGAUAUCACGAAGAACUCCGAUUGCGAAGGCAGCCUGCUAAGCUG
RNAcentral lists this ribosomal RNA (698 nucleotides) under uncultured Bacteroidales bacterium. RNAcentral's name for it is "bacterial SSU rRNA". It matches the Rfam family "Bacterial small subunit ribosomal RNA", at positions 51 to 736 of the family's 1533-position model. The record is from RNAcentral. Lineage: Bacteria; Pseudomonadati; Bacteroidota; Bacteroidia; Bacteroidales.